This 403-nucleotide ribosomal RNA is filed under the name Verrucomicrobiota bacterium. RNAcentral describes it as "Verrucomicrobia bacterium partial 16S ribosomal RNA". It matches the Rfam family "Bacterial small subunit ribosomal RNA", at positions 355 to 776 of the family's 1533-position model. The record is from RNAcentral. Lineage: Bacteria; Pseudomonadati; Verrucomicrobiota.
UGGGGAAUAUUGCACAAUGGAGGGAACUCUGAUGCAGCGACGCCGCGUGAACGAAGAAGGCUUUCGUGUCGUAAAGUUCUGUUAUAGGGGAAGAUAAUGACGGUACCAUAAGAAAAAGCCCCGGCUAACUACGUGCCAGCAGCCGCGGUAAUACGUAGGGGGCUAGCGUUGUCCGGAAUCACUGGGCGUAAAGGGUUCGCAGGCGGAAAUGCAAGCCAGGUGUAAAAGGCAGUAGCUUAACUACUGUAAGCAUUUGAAACUGCAUAUCUUGAGAAGAGUAGAGGUAAGUGGAAUUUUUAGUGUAGCGGUGAAAUGCGUAGAUAUUAAAAAGAAUACCGGUGGCGAAGGCGACUUACUGGGCUCAUUCUGACGCUGAGGAACGAAAGCGUGGGUAGCAAACAGG